RNAcentral lists this ribosomal RNA (253 nucleotides) under uncultured bacterium. Its description in RNAcentral is "partial 16S ribosomal RNA". It matches the Rfam family "Bacterial small subunit ribosomal RNA", at positions 524 to 776 of the family's 1533-position model. The record is from RNAcentral.
GACGAACCGUGCGAACGUUGUUCGGAAUCACUGGGCUUAAAGGGCGCGUAGGCGGACCACCAAGUCCGGGGUGAAAUCCUUCGGCUUAACCGGAGAAUUGCCUGGGAUACUGGUGGUCUUGAGGGAGGUAGGGGCACGCGGAACUUCCGGUGGAGCGGUGAAAUGCGUUGAUAUCGGAAGGAACGCCGGUGGCGAGAGCGGCGUGCGGGCCCUCUUCGGACGCUGAGGCGCGAAAGCCAGGGGAGCGAACGGG